CCCUACGGGGUGCCGCAGGUACCUUGAAAACUAGACCGUGAAGAGAACAGGGUGAGAGACACCAACAGGUGUGUUUCAUCCGACAAGGAAUGUCUUUCAGUAGAACAGUACAAGACAAUCCCUGUCAUUCCUUUCAGACGUUCGUUCUUCCUUCCCUGAAGGAGGAACAACACAAUAGUAUUUCGAAGAGUUCGAUCCUGGCUCAGAAUGAACGCUGGCGGCGUGCCUUACACCUGCAAGUCGAGCGAAGGCGGAACCAAGGGGCAACCCGAGGUCCUGUCUGAGCGGCAAACGGGUGAGUAAUGGACAGGUAACGUACCCCCAAGACGUGGAUAGCUCAUCGAAAGAUGAGAUAAUACGCGAUAAUGGUCUCCCGCGCAGGCGGGAGAAAGAAAGCGGGCGCAAGCUCGCGCGUCCGGAUCGGCCUGUCUCCUAUCAGCUAGUUGGCGGGGGAGC
Molecule: ribosomal RNA, 456 nt
Filed under: uncultured prokaryote
Description: partial 16S ribosomal RNA
Rfam family: Bacterial small subunit ribosomal RNA (bases 180-456)
Source: RNAcentral